RNAcentral lists this ribosomal RNA (1055 nucleotides) under uncultured bacterium. Its description in RNAcentral is "bacterial SSU rRNA". It matches the Rfam family "Bacterial small subunit ribosomal RNA", at positions 336 to 1393 of the family's 1533-position model. The record is from RNAcentral.
CUCCUACGGGAGGCAGCAGUGAGGAAUAUUGGUCAAUGGACGCAAGUCUGAACCAGCCAUGCCGCGUGCAGGAUGACGGCUCUAUGAGUUGUAAACUGCUUUUGUACGAGGGUAAACGCAGAUACGUGUAUCUGUCUGAAAGUAUCGUACGAAUAAGGAUCGGCUAACUCCGUGCCAGCAGCCGCGGUAAUACGGAGGAUUCAAGCGUUAUCCGGAUUUAUUGGGUUUAAAGGGUGCGUAGGCGGUUUGAUAAGUUAGAGGUGAAAUUUCGGGGCUCAACCCUGAACGUGCCUCUAAUACUGUUGAGCUAGAGAGUAGUUGCGGUAGGCGGAAUGUAUGGUGUAGCGGUGAAAUGCUUAGAGAUCAUACAGAACACCGAUUGCGAAGGCAGCUUACCAAACUAUAUCUGACGUUGAGGCACGAAAGCGUGGGGAGCAAACAGGAUUAGAUACCCUGGUAGUCCACGCAGUAAACGAUGAUAACUCGUUGUCGGCGAUACACAGUCGGUGACUAAGCGAAAGCGAUAAGUUAUCCACCUGGGGAGUACGUUCGCAAGAAUGAAACUCAAAGGAAUUGACGGGGGCCCGCACAAGCGGAGGAACAUGUGGUUUAAUUCGAUGAUACGCGAGGAACCUUACCCGGGCUUGAAAGUUAGCGACGAUUCUUGAAAGAGGAUUUCCCUUCGGGGCGCGAAACUAGGUGCUGCAUGGUUGUCGUCAGCUCGUGCCGUGAGGUGUCGGGUUAAGUCCCAUAACGAGCGCAACCCCUACCGUUAGUUGCCAUCAGGUCAAGCUGGGCACUCUGGCGGGACUGCCGGUGUAAGCCGAGAGGAAGGUGGGGAUGACGUCAAAUCAGCACGGCCCUUACGUCCGGGGCUACACACGUGUUACAAUGGUAGGUACAGAGGGCAGCUACCCAGCGAUGGGAUGCGAAUCUCGAAAGCCUAUCUCAGUUCGGAUUGGAGGCUGAAACCCGCCCCCACGAAGCUGGAUUCGCUAGUAAUCGCGCAUCAGCCAUGGCGCGGUGAAUACGUUCCCGGGCCUUGUACACACCGC